UCUACGUCAACGUCAAUUUCAAGUCCUGUCCAAGCCCUCGUGUACCAGUCCCUCCGUUUAACUGAUGCUCCAGAAGGAAGUCACCCAGAACAAAGCGGUGGUCCUUACCUGAAGAGCUCCUCCGCCAACAGCAACUGGAAGCACACCAGGCUGACGCAAUAAACAGACAGCGGAUGAAGGACACGCAUCUCCGGGCGAAGGUUGCUUCUGCACCCACUCUGGUGAGGGAGGCAGAGUGGAGGUGGUGGGGAACACCGCACUGGUGCAGAGAUGUUUGAUUCCCAAACAAAAGAAAAAUGGGGAUAAAGUGCAAAAAAGACAAAAAAAGGUGAUGACUACUUGAACUAUCCAAGCUUGGUAGGGGAAAGUGCACCACUGUGAGGGGAAGGAAAAUAAUUAGUCAAGCGGGAAAGUGCUUACAAGUGCAUACCUUGAUUCACAUUGGCUUGAUUCACAGCUUUAAAAUCCCAUUCAAAAGCUUACCUUGUGUGAGUGUGACUCAGGUGCUGCUGCUGCGCUUGUUGUAUCCAAGUGGUCAAGAUCAAGUUCUCUCAACGCCUUUGCUGACAUUGAGAGUUUAAAUAGGGAGUGGGCGGGAACAAAAUCAUGAAAGAAGGAUAACCUCCCACUUCCAUCUGUAUGCUUUUACAUUACAAACUCUAUGCUCUUUUUAGAUGGUCAUGAUCAAUUCAUACUGGUGGAUUGGCAACUUAUUUAAAAAAGGUCUCAUUCUAUUUAAUUAUUUCUCCAUUCAUUUGUAUUUUAUGUUAGUAUAAGUUACUUGACAAUAUUUAAAAGCGUAUUUUCAGCAUAGGGACGGUAGAGACUUAA
Molecule: long non-coding RNA, 831 nt
Organism: Corythoichthys intestinalis (scribbled pipefish)
Lineage: Eukaryota; Metazoa; Chordata; Actinopteri; Syngnathiformes; Syngnathidae
Exons: 3
Source: RefSeq, a predicted model, not a curated record